This 364-nucleotide ribosomal RNA is filed under the name uncultured eukaryote. Its description in RNAcentral is "partial 18S ribosomal RNA". It matches the Rfam family "Eukaryotic small subunit ribosomal RNA", at positions 592 to 976 of the family's 1831-position model. The record is from RNAcentral.
CAAAAGCGUAUAUUAAAGUUGUUGCAGUUAAAAAGCUCGUAGUUGAACCUUGGGCUUGGCUGGCCGGUCCAUCUUUUUUGAUGCGUACUGGACCCAGCCGAGCCUUUCCUUCUGGCUAGCCUUUUGGCGAACCAGGACUUUUACUUUGAAAAAAUUAGAGUGUUCAAAGCAGGCCUUUGCUCGAAUAUAUUAGCAUGGAAUAAUAGAAUAGGACGUUAUGGUUCUAUUUUGUUGGUUUCUAGGACCAUCGUAAUGAUUAAUAGGGACGGUCGGGGGUAUCAGUAUUCAGUUGUCAGAGGUGAAAUUCUUGGAUUUACUGAAGACUAACUACUGCGAAAGCAUUUACCAAGGAUGUUUUCAUUAA